Molecule: ribosomal RNA, 467 nt
Filed under: uncultured bacterium
Lineage: Bacteria
Description: partial 16S ribosomal RNA
Rfam family: Bacterial small subunit ribosomal RNA
Source: RNAcentral
GACGAACGCUGGCGGCGUGCUUAACACAUGCAAGUCGAACGGAAAGGCCCUGCUUUUGUGGGGUGCUCGAGUGGCGAACGGGUGAGUAACACGUGAGUAACCUGCCCUUGACUUUGGGAUAACUUCAGGAAACUGGGGCUAAUACCGGAUAGGAGCUCCUGCUGCAUGGUGGGGUUGGAAAGUUUCGGCGGUUGGGGAUGGACUCGCGGCUUAUCAGCUUGUUGGUGGGGUAGUGGCUUACCAAGGCUUUGACGGGUAGCCGGCCUGAGAGGGUGACCGGCCACAUUGGGACUGAGAUACGGCCCAGACGCCUACGGGAGGCAGCAGUGGGGAAUAUUGCACAAUGGGCGGAAGCCUGAUGCAGCAACGCCGCGUGCGGGAUGACGGCCUUCGGGUUGUAAACCGCUUUCGCCUGUGACGAAGCGUGAGUGACGGUAAUGGGUAAAGAAGCACCGGCUAACUACGUG